UGCCCGAAAGGGUGACGAAGCGACGCCGCGUGAGCGAAGAAGGCCUUAGGGUUGUAAAGCUCUGUCGAGGGUUAUGAAAUAUAGAUAGGUUAAUACCUUAUCUAUUUGACAAAGGCCCAAAAGGAAGCCACGGCUAACUCUGUGCCAGCAGCCGCGGUAAUACAGAGGUGGCAAGCGUUGUUCGGAAUUAUUGGGCGUAAAGAGCACGUAGGUGGUUUUGUAAGUCAGGUGUGAAAGCCUUCUGUUCAAAGGAAGAACGGCAUCUGAAACUGCGAAUCUUGAGUGUAGGAGGGGAGAGUGGAACUUCUGGUGGAGCGGUGAAAUGCGUAGAUAUCAGAAGGAACGUCGGCGGCGAAAGCGACUCUCUGGCCUAUUACUGACACUGAGGUGCGAAAGUUAGGGGAGCAAACGGGAUUAGAUACCCCGGUAGUCCUAACCGUAAACGAUGGGCACUAAGUAGAGGGGU
Molecule: ribosomal RNA, 466 nt
Filed under: uncultured Planctomycetota bacterium
Lineage: Bacteria; Pseudomonadati; Planctomycetota
Description: bacterial SSU rRNA
Rfam family: Bacterial small subunit ribosomal RNA
Source: RNAcentral